UACGUAGGGUGCAAGCGUUAAUCGGAAUUACUGGGCGUAAAGCGUGCGCAGGCGGUUAUAUAAGACAGAUGUGAAAUCCCCGGGCUCAACCUGGGAACUGCAUUUGUGACUGUAUAGCUAGAGUACGGCAGAGGGGGAUGGAAUUCCGCGUGUAGCAGUGAAAUGCGUAGAUAUGCGGAGGAACACCGAUGGCGAAGGCAAUCCCCUGGGCCUGUACUGACGCUCAUGCACGAAAGGGUGGGGAGCAAACAGG
Molecule: ribosomal RNA, 253 nt
Filed under: uncultured bacterium
Lineage: Bacteria
Description: partial 16S ribosomal RNA
Rfam family: Bacterial small subunit ribosomal RNA
Source: RNAcentral